RNAcentral lists this ribosomal RNA (433 nucleotides) under uncultured Coriobacteriaceae bacterium. RNAcentral describes it as "partial 16S ribosomal RNA". It matches the Rfam family "Bacterial small subunit ribosomal RNA", at positions 341 to 792 of the family's 1533-position model. Lineage: Bacteria; Bacillati; Actinomycetota; Coriobacteriia; Coriobacteriales; Coriobacteriaceae. The record is from RNAcentral.
ACGGAAGGCAGCAGUGGGGAAUUUUGCGCAAUGGGGGGAACCCUGACGCAGCAACGCCGCGUGCGGGAUGAAGGCCUUCGGGUUGUAAACCGCUUUCAGCAGGGACGAUUAUGACGGUACCUGCAGAAGAAGCUCCGGCUAACUACGUGCCAGCAGCCGCGGUAAUACGUAGGGAGCGAGCGUUAUCCGGAUUCAUUGGGCGUAAAGCGCGCGUAGGCGGCUUGCUAAGCGGAACCUCUAAUCCGAGGGCUCAACCCCCGGCCGGGUUCCGAACUGGCAGGCUCGAGGGCGGUAGGGGCAAGUGGAAUUCCAUGUGUAGCGGUGGAAUGCGCAGAUAUAUGGAAGAACACCGAUGGCGAAGGCAGCUUGCUGGGCCGACACUGACGCUGAGGUGCGAAAGCGUGGGGAGCGAACAGGAUUAGAUACCCUGGUA